CUUAUUUGCAUCCCAAGGUGUGCACUGAUUCUUUUUAAGGACCUGGAAGGCGUCCACAGCAGAAGAAUCACGGGCUGGAAAACGGCUUGCAAAGCGGCCCGUUGCGGAAGGUUCAACCCGACCCGUCCUCGCUGGCCUUGCAGUUUGGAGCUCUCUUUGGGGCAUUAUCCCAGCCUGCAAGAUCAGCGAUGGCCUGCGAACCCCCGGAAAGCUGUGUUGGUGGCCGUCAGCAAAGCUUCUCUUCCUGGUAUUUCUGGU
Long non-coding RNA from Python bivittatus (Burmese python), 258 nucleotides. RefSeq lists it as uncharacterized. The record is from RefSeq and is a predicted model, not a curated record. Lineage: Eukaryota; Metazoa; Chordata; Lepidosauria; Squamata; Pythonidae.